CACUGGGUUAGAGGACAUGGGGCAGGAGACCUGAGAAGGAAGAGAGGACAGUUCUGUGCCACACUGGUCAUAUUUAGAAGACAUUUUCAUAUUCCAACCAUUGUUCUGUGUGUGCAUUUUAUUUCUCACGACUGUAUAUGUAGUUAACAAUACUAUUUUUUGAACUAUCUACCCUUUCUAGAUGUUCUGAAAUGCCCAUGUUAAAAUUAGAGAUAGUAAAAUGACACAUUUUGUAAAUCUUUUUGUUAAAAUUCAUAUGUAAUGUUGUUUUGGUUGGGGGGGGGUGGCCAAACCACCUGUUAAUAAUACACAUUGUGUUUGUGCACUGGUUCAGGGGAGGAGAGAGGAAAGGAAGUGUAAGAGCUCUAUGCCAAUGUGCUUAUAGUGAGGCAAGGUUAACCAUUGUCUCAUGCCUGGGCAUUUUGUUUUACUUAUCUGGGUGUAUUGUGGAUCUAAAGGAUAAAUGAGUCCUGACUUUACAUCUAGUCUUUCUAGAUGUUAAAGAGGUUGCUAGUGUAUGACAGAAGUAGUUAGUAAACUAAUAUAUUUUGUACAUUUCGUUUUAAGAUUCCCAGGAAAGACAGUCUUCUGAAAAUUUGAGCAUUAUUGCCCAGUGGGUUGAUGGAGAUGGGAAGGUGUAGGCCAGAAUGUUCAUAUUUGGAAGACUCAGUCAUAACUGUUUUUACAUGUGUUCACUUUAUUCAAGACUUCUGUGCAUAUAGUGGACAAAUUAACUUCUUACCUGAAACAUCUUAUCUAUGUAGAUGUUCAGAAUUGCCUGAUGUAUGUUAAGUGUAGAGGUAGUAAAAUAUCACCUUGUAAAUAUCUUUUUGCUAAAAUUCUUGGGAAGUACUGUCUUUUGGAAGUGGAAUUGUGAAGCCACCUCUGUAAGCAGUAUAGUACUGUCUAUACUUGUUCAGUGGUUUAGAAAUGGGAGGGAAGAAAUUGCCAAAGGUAAUAUGCUAGUGUGUUCAUACUUGGACAUUUCACUUGCCAUUUUUCUGUAUGUUUUGUGCAUUUUGUUUUGCUGUGUAUGUAGAGUACAUAAUGAACAAAUGAGUCCUAAUUUUGCAACAUUUGGUCUCUAGAUGUUUAAGAAGUUGCCAGUGUAUGACAAAGUAUCUAGUAAAAUUAGCACAUUUUGCACACUUUGUGUUGAAAUUCAUAGGAAAGCUUGUCUUCUGUAAAUGAUUUUUGGGUAUGAAUUUGUUCAGCCAUCUCUAAGCGUUACACAUGCCUGUACCUGUCCACUGGAUUGAAGACAGAGAGAAGGAAGUGAGGAAGGACUGGUUCAAGGUCAAAAUUGUCAUAUUUAGAAGAUACCUCCGAUUAUAGCCAUUGUUACAUGUGCAAUUUUAUUUUACAGUGCUAUGUACACAGUGGAAAGUUAUAUGAAAUAUCUGGUCUCUCUAGAUAGUUAGAAAUGCUUGAUGUAUUUAAAAGUAGAAAUAGUAUAAUAACACUUUUUGUAAAUAGCUUUUAAAAACUGAUGGGAAAUACUGUGUUUGAAAGUGGGAUUGUUAAAUCCCACUCUGUGAACAGUGUUACUUGUUCAUUCAGUUGAGGAAGGUGAGAGGGAAGAAAUUACAAAAGAUGUUUUGCUACUGUGUACUAGAAAAUUUCAGUUUAUCCAUUGCCUUAUAUGUUAAAUGCAUUGCAUGUAACUUUGCUAUACUACAUAUUGUGUUAUAUACUGGAAAAAUGAGUCCUAAUUUAAAAAUAUCCACUGUCUAGAUACUAAAGAGGUUGCCAAUGUAUGACAAAAAUAGUAAAGUAACACAUUUUGUACACUUUGUGUUAACGUUUAUAAAAAGACUAUCUUCUGAAAACGACUUUUGGAAGUGAAAUGAUAACAUCAACUCUAAGUGACACAUGGGCCCAUAUCCACCAGGUUGGUGGUGCAGAGGAGCUGGAAGAAAUGAAGGAUUCUAGAUCAGAAUAUUCCUAUUUAGAAGACAGUUUAAGAUAAACCAUGUGUGUAGUUUAUUCAACCCUACUGAUGCAAGAGAAUAGGGUCUGGAGGCAGGAAACAUAAAGCAGAUUCAUGCAGACUUCCUAGAAAUCAAUGAAAUGGAAACACAUCAGCUAUGACAGGACAUAUACUCUCCAACAGAGUAAAUGACUUUGUAACUUUAUUUCAUCCUCUCCAUUUACAUAGGGCGUAUAUCAAGUAAAUGACUAGGGUGUAUACCAAGUAAAUGACUUUGUAACUUUAUUUCAUCCUCUUCAUUUACAUAAGGCAUAUACCAAGUAACCAAUGGAAACCUUGAGAGGGUAUUUAAACCCCAGAAAAUUCUGUAACUGGGCUCUUGAGCCCCUAAGCACAGGCCUUCUCCCACCCUGUGGAGCAUACUUUCAUUUCAUAAAUCUCUGCUUUUGUUGUUUCAUUCUUUUCUUGCUUUGUGUGUUUUGUCCAAUUCUUGGUUCAAUAUGCCCAGAAACUGGACACCCUCCACUGGUAACAUAUUUUGGCAAGGCAGCCAGGAGGUAAGCCCAAAGUUUGGGAUUUUUCAUCUUUUCUUUUCCACUCCAUACAGGGGAAUCUCUCCCUCUGUCUCUCUUUCCUUUCCAACUCAGGACCCUUGGUGGGCAGCGCCUAAACACGGAGGCAACCGCAGGUUUCUGGGUGGGGCCAUCCUGAAGGACCUUUUUCUAUCUUUACUGGUUGUGGUCCCUGAUUCCUAUGUGUGGCGUAGUUCAGGGCAAACUUGCAGCUCAGGGCAAACUUGCAGCUCAGGGCGAACUUGCAUGUGUUUCAGGCGACGGAAACCUUUUCUAUACUAACUUCUUCCCUUACCCUACUUGACUGGCUAAGGACAAAAGAAGCCUACCCAGCUUCCAUUUCCUAUCAUUACAGUUCAUGGCUCUCAUGCUAGUGGAACAGGAAGCAUGGGAUAAUGUGGCCUUAUCAAAUUAUAAGGAUGCUAAACGUCAGUGAUUACACCCAGGAACCAAAGGACAGUUCACAAUUGCCUCUGGAGGGAAAAUAUGCAAAGCAGCACUGGUGCCCACCUAAGGUCAGAGAUGCCUGACACUCUUAAGACUGGACCCCAAAGGGGGAUUCCCCAGGGGAUCCUCCAGACUUCAACCUCUCCAAAGGGGAUGCCCUUGGCAGCAGUUCUAAGGACUAGUACUAAGCCCUCCUUAGAAUUUUCUCUUGCAGUUGCAAUACUGUUUGGCCCCAAUAUGGUUUGGAUUCUGGCAUUUGCUGUUGAAUGGGAAAGCGGGACGCAGUUGCAUGUAUCCAGGCUUUGGUGCUGCUGUUCUAAGCAGGGGCAGGCCUAGUUAUUAUGUGAUGUUCUCCUUUGGUGCUGUUUGACCCCAGUGUUCUUUCGAGUCUGGGGAGGUUUGGCCUUUAAAAAUCAAACUGCCAUGGAAAUUGCUUUACCUGAAAUAAUGGUUCACAGCCUUCAUUGGAUUGCUUAUUGGGUACACAAAGUAAAAUUGGCAAGCUUGUAUUGCUAUCUCAUGGUUAGGGUUCCAAGGUAAAAGCUAUUGAAUCUUCGUUUGUGUGUGUAUAUACACAUGUCUAGAUGUGUUUAUUUGCACACUUGUUAUAUGUUGUGUUUUGGCUUAUAAGUAAAAGAGCACUCAUAAAUUAAGUAAAUAAAUCUAAGCAAUUUUCAAGUUCACAUGACUUAAGUAUAACUUUCCUAAACAAGCUAGUUUUAAAAUUAUUGGUGAAGUAAAAAUAGAAAUGCCUUUGGAAUUGUCAGCAUAUAUUUUUGUCUGGAUUUUAUAUUUGUCUCUGCUAGAUAUUUUGAGGUGUUAGGGUUUGGCAUAGAAGGUUAUAAAACUAUAAACCCAGCCAAAACAAAAUCAUCUCGUUUGCGUUUUUUUUUUUUUUUUUUUUUUUUUUUUUUUUUUUUUUUUUUUUUUUUUUUGACAAAUGAGCAUAAUUUAAUGUUAGCUAAAUUUUCUGGGUUACUGGCAAAAAUACCUAUGUAUUUAACUUUGAGGCUCUUACUUAGGUUUAAGUGCACACCCAAUAUUCACUGGCUAUUCAAAAUGUGGUUAACAGGGAAAUAACUGACUUUAAAAGAUAGUGUCUAAUAUUUCGGUUUACAGAGGUAAUCUAGAUAAACUGUUAAAAGUGAAACAAUUGAGUACAGUGAAUGGGACAAAUGUUUUAGAUAAGUUUUUGUGUAAAGUCUUAAAAUUAUUUUUGAUGCUCAUUUAAAAUCUGGGCCAUUUCCAAUUAGAAAGGUUGUGAUAUGGGGAAAUAUGUUUCUAAAAUUGUGUAAUUGUUCUUAACUAUAAAUUCCCAUAUCUGAUAGUUCAGGAUUUCUUGCUUUUUAGCAUUUCACUAAAGUUUUAGGUUACUAAGGAUAAGAAUUCUAGUUAACACAUAAUUCUGUAUACAAAACAUGCCAGAAAGGUUGUGUUAUUAGUGAGAAAAAGAAUAAUUUAGAAGUUAUCUAAAAGUUAGUUCAAAUUACAGAUUUGAAAAGGUUACUUAUGAAACAAUGUAGUAAGGAACCAGUAAGUAGAGGAGAAAGAUAUGGAAAAAGUUUAGAUAAUAAAAUAUUCUUUAAAACCUGAUAGAGAAUUGGAGAUAUUUGGCUAAUUAACAUUUUCAUAGUGAAAGCUCUUAGUCCUGAUAAAAGUAAAAUAAGCAUUGUAAAGAAAUGCAUUGGCAGUUUGGCAAUUCCUUUUUACUAUAGUUAAGCAUGAAGCCGGAUUUGGUGUGGAGCCAAAUUUCACAUACAUGCUUGCAUUGCUUCACACUGUUUACUGUUUUGUGUGGUUAGUGCUGGCACUGGAGUACUUAUUGGUUAUGUGCCUAUAGUGUAUUUCUUGAUUGCACAGGAUGUAUGGUGAUAUUGGUGACCUUAAGGAUACUGAAUUGUGUAUCAGGAAUAAAAUAUUCAUUAUGUGGGUUUUGGGGGGCCCUAGGUAAACACUGUAGCCUCCAGGGUAGAUUGAGAAGGAAAAAUUUAGGGUUGGGUUCCUAUUCGUUUUUGCUUCUAAUUUUCAUUUGUUUGCCAUUUAUUCUCCUCUGGCUUUGCUUGUGUAUGCAUAUAUAAAACCAUAUAUAUAUAUUUUAAAUUUCUAGUGGAAGGCUUUCAUUUGGUUCUGUGAAUAGUUAUUUUGUUCCCUAUGCAUUUCUAGCAAGUCAUCAUUUGUUCCAUUUAUCUGGAAUUCCUAGGCUACCUUUGUCAGGCUGGCAGGAAUUGAUGGAGCACACCAGCUUUUUAACCUUGAACUAACUCAAAUUCUGUUUAUGAUACUUUAAGUGUGUUGAGUAUAUUUUCAUAAACAGAAUUUGAGUCAUAUUUCUCUGUCUGCCCAUUUUCUCCAAAAUUUGUAAACUAUUUGUGAAUAUUCUUAAUUCAUGGCAAUGUGUUUGUUUGCAUAUAGUCAAGCAGGGUUCCUAGGGCUGCUUUGGGAGACAGAACCCAGAAACCUGGCAUACUGGCAAAAGGGUAAGAAUUUCUUACCAGCCAGACUCUGGUCUCUGUCUCUCUGUGCAAACUGCAUAAAUGAAUAGUAAAAGUCACUGUUUAUCUCCUCUGUAAAGUUUUGAUUAAUAUAAAAAAAGAAUUCUGAGGCCAAUCUUAAGCUGUAGUGAAUCUGGUGUGCUUUGUGUCUUUCUGUAUUGUUUUGUCAUAAAGAGGGGUACCUUAGAAUAAAAUGUGUGCUUAGGACCCCAUAGACCUGCUGUUCAAGACAUCCCAGCAGACUGGUCAGUCAUGUCUUUGGGAGCUUGACCUUGUAACCAUGUGGCCAUGCUUUCUCUUUUCACAAUGGCAGCCUGCGUUUAGGGUUCAAUUCCUGGCUUAGGGAAUGAGUCCUUUAUCUUCUGUCUGUGUAUUUAUAUAUGUUGUGUGUGUACUAUAAAAGAGCAUUAAUUAAUUAGCUUAAUAACAAUAAGAGCUUAAAUCAAAUAUUUUGUCAGAAAAGUAAAAAAUGUAAUGCCUUUUAUUUACUUCAUGUAACUUAAGUAAUCUUUGGGAAAUAAAGACAGUUUUAAAGAUUAUUGGUAAAAUAAAAAUAUCUUCAAAAUGUAAAUAUUUAGUCUAAAUUAUGCAGGUCAGAUAUUAGAUUUGCAAAAUGCUUUAAGGUCAUAAACUGCUUCUUUGACUUUUAAAAAUUGCUCAAUUUAUUUUGGAGCAUUAGAUUCUAGAUAAGGCCUGGGGACAAAUAGAAUUAGCCAUGUCCCCUAGCUAUGCAAAGAAGGUUAUAAAGAAAGGAGAUUUUAUAUAAGAAAGGAUCUUAUAUCGUAAAUUCUUGUCCUAAAGUAAAAUAAGUGGUUGUUAAAAAAGAGGGAUGUUUAGGUCAAGUUAGAAAGUCCAAGCAUGUCAUAGAUGGUCUGUGUAAGUCAUGAAAUAAUUUACAAAAGAGAAUUUUUGCAAGUAAUAUACAAUUUAAUUAGACCUCCUAAUUAGGAUUAAUUAAUUAAUUAAUUUAGGAGGUCUAAUCCUAAUUAGGUCUAAUUAGGAUUAGACCUCCUAAAUGCUUCAUAAAAUGCCACUAUGACUCUUAACUCUACAACUUGCCUGCUUUACAGCUAGGUAAGGCCUGAGACACGUGGAGUGAGAUGCUGGAGUCAGACCUUAAGUGUACUUCUCUCUGGGUCCUAGACUCCACAACUAAUAUAUAAUUAAAAUCCUUAACUUACCAAAGUUUUCACCAAAAGUAAAACUCACUAAGAGUUAACAUUGUAACAUGUAAGUGAGACUACUGAAGCAACAGUUUUACAUGCAAGUUACGUAAGAAAAGUGAAUGCAUUUUCAGUGAAAGAUUAUAACAAGGCAUGGGAAUGUAGAUUUUUUUUUUCUGUCUAAAGGGUUAAAGGAUUGUUUUAAGUUAGGAUAAAGCUAAAAGUUUGAAUGAGUUGUGGAAGAUUUAUAAAAAUUAAUAUUGUAAAAAAUCACGUGUGUGAACAUAUUGACUAAAUUUAAAGGGGUAUUUUCUGGUUUUUCCAUAAAUUGAACAUCAAAAUACAAGCACAAACAGGGUUUUCUUAAAGCACUGAUCUGCUCUUUAGCAAACAUUUGUAAAGGAUUAUAAAAGGUUUAUGAGAAUCUCACCUUAUGGUCAAACUGAUUACGAUUGGAAAGAUAUGUCUACAAGGUUUUCUUAAAAAUUGGUGUUGACAUUAAUAGCACACUAAUGCAAGGGUGAAAUUUGGCUUUCUCUCUUGAACAAGAUGUUCAUGCAAUAUUAAAAGAUAAUGAAAGAUCUUUGUUUGCCUUUUGAAUAAACUACCCACCCACCAAAAAAAAAGGAAGGGAAAGACAAGAGACAGAUUGUUUGUAAAGUAAGUCUUCCAUCUAUCAACAAGGAAAGGUUUUUGCCUUUUAAAACAUUUUUGAGUCAUCAUUUUGCUAAAUGAAUGACUAUGGUAACCUGGAAUUAUAUUUCAUAAUAUCAAGUGUUUUAAAUCUUUAACAUAUUUAAUAGGCUUCCCAAAAUCAAAUUUCAGCUUCAAAAUUAUCUUUUCUAACCUCUAACUUUGAGAUGCUGCAGAGGGCCCCUGAAGCAUCCAAAAGAGAGGUAAACAGAAUUAUUUGACAUGUUUAAUUACAUGGGAAGCAUUGUCAAAAAGAAAAAAAAAUUUAAUCUUCUUCAGGUUAUAUUUUAGUGAAUAAUAUUAAUAUAUGUUCCAAAAUUGUAUGAGAUUUCUAAAAUUCCAGUAUGUCUGAGUAUAUGCUAUCAAUCAUAAUUAUUAUUAUGUUAUUGUAGACCACAGAAAUAACCAAAUUUCCUUGUCAAUUGUGUUUUUAACUAUAACUAUUUAAAGUCAUUUCCACAGUUAAUUGCUUAAUGCUGAUGCAGUUUCUGAAAACUUCACAAGCAUGCAAAGUCCUAGAAUAUGGUGUCUUUUAGGAGAUUCAUGAAAGAUUGGAAAGGACCCUAAAAAGCACUCUUGAAUACAGGUUUCUAAUAAGUUUAGAAUUAUAUCAUUUGAACUGGGUAAGAAUUCCUGGAACUUUAAUGAAAAGGCUGACUGAGUUCUAAAACUGCUAACCCAAGUAGAACAAAAAUUAAUUAAAUACCAAGAAAAUACUUUGCCAGAUUUUCAUGCUAAAUCAGCUGAUACUGAAACUGUUUAGAUAUAAAAUUUGAAUAAACUCCAUCAUUUAAAUCAAAUUACCUAUGACAACCCAUCAGUUAUCAGUGUUAUGCACCUAAUUUGGGGAAACUACUGGUAUUCAAGAGGAUAUGAGUCUAAUGUUAAUUAAGCAUGAACUCAUGGAGAACCAGGAUGGCCACCUUGUCCUUCCUAAGUCCUUAAAGCUUUUGUUAGUAAAAUUUCUGCAUUACAUGACCCGUCACGGAAAAGAUAAAAUGAUCCAAAUUGAAUAUAUUGAUGUGGUGACUUAUAAAUUGCUAAAAUAGUUUAUAACCAAUGUUUGGUCCCAUAUUCCUGGGAAAACAAUCAAAGCUUCAGGUACAUCCAGUCACCUGAUAGGCCAUUUAAACAUUUUAUAGAGGGAUUUUAUUUGAUUGUUAUUUUCAGUGCAUGUUUUCUGGUUGUAUAAAAGCUUUCCCAUGCAAGAGGGCUGAUGUUAUAACACUAAGUUAUUAUGCCACCAAGUAUUUUCACAAGGUAAAGAAAGCUUUUUAUGGUUCACUGAGGACAAUCAACUCCUUCACAACCUAGAAACUGAAGAUUCUAUCUUCUGAGAACAUUGGAUAAAGACUGUCCUUGCCAUCCACACUACAGCAAAACUUCUGGACUUUGAACUUUGGGUUCAUGAUCUCACAACUGAGAAGACUCCCUCCACACUCUUGGAACUGUACACCCAUUGGAACCCUUAAGGUAAAGCUAACCAGGGAAGUUUCUCUCCCGAAGAAGAUGGCAUCCUUGAUGUGAACAGCUUUUCCCAAGAUCAUGAAUCAAGACUUCUCUAUUAUCAUGAGACUCUUAUCUUUGAAUAUUUUUUCCUUGCUUUUGCCUCUAUGAAGAAUAGAAGUGGAAAAGGGAUCUGUUGUGUACAAUUAUGGGGUAUACUUUUAUUUGUGAAGAAUUUUGCAGCCAGCUUUAGGUCCUUUUUCCAUGAUUUGGAAUAAAAGAGGCAAAUGUAUCCCUCAUAAUAGGCUCUAUAGCAGUUUACUGUAAAGGCUAUGGUUACAUAAUAGACUAAAUUAUCUUAAGAAAGUUAUGCUAAAUAAUAGAAUUGGCUAAACAGAAGAGUAUCUGUGCAGCUGCUGGCACUCAUGGCCUAUGGAGAAAACAUCAGGUAUUAUAGAGAUUCAGUUGUAGCAAAUUAAUGAAGAGACUGCUUAGUUAAGUGAGUAGACUCUUUAGCUCAUUCUUUAAUCUAUUUGAGUUUGGGAGGUUUGGUUUAUGGUGACCCUGGAUAAGGAGCAUACUUACUCUCAACUCUUGGUAUUAUCCUCCUGAUAGUCAUAAUAAUAGUCUCCCUGGUGUGCUGUAUUCUCUCAAAGGUUUUAAAUGUUUGCAUGCUGCCACCUCUAGAA
This 9432-nucleotide small RNA is filed under the name Pan troglodytes (chimpanzee). RNAcentral's name for it is "sense intronic". Lineage: Eukaryota; Metazoa; Chordata; Mammalia; Primates; Hominidae. The record is from RNAcentral.